UGGGACUAUGAUGGCUGAUGGCAUCAAUGCCAGAAGAUGGGCUGGACGGCUCAGUCUUAAUGAAGGAUCCGCAGCUAGAGAAGUCUUUCCAGGCCUUUCAAAGGUCUCAUUAGCCAUCUCUGAACCUCCUCCAUUUCUGCUAUAUUUGUUUUUCGAGAGGGUGACCAGAACUGAAUUCAAUGAUCCAGAUUCUCAGCUGAUGUAAAUCAGCAUAACUACAUUGAAAUUAAUUCUCCAGCUGAAGGUGUAGCCCAGCGUUCUAGUCCAUGUACCUGGUAAAUGUACCACCAUCAUGCCGUCAGAAGGGCAAACCCAUCAGAGACGACAGGACAGAGCUUCUCUCAUGUACCAAAAUUAGAGUAUGCAUGAGUAGUUUGCAGACACAAAAAUUGGAGUGGUAAAUUAUGAAGAGGACCCAUCAGUGAUACAGAGUGAUCUGGAUCGCUUGGUCUGUCAAUAAAUGACAAUGUCAUCUGAAGGGCAGAUACUCCUGAAGUCUUCCCUGUUCCUCUGACCACUCAUUAUGAACCCUGCAUGUUGCACUGGCAGAAGGCAGCACAUCAUCACCUGGGCACCACCUCCUGACAAACUUGGUGGCCCUUUUCAGUGCAAGGUCUGAAUCCCAAGGAUACCAGGAUCUGCUCUGGACACUUUACCAUUAUAUAGAAGAGGCUAUAGCUGGCAUAGGCUGGAAGGGCAGGUGUGGGCUAACCUAUUCUACAACUAAAGAGCAUCCUGUUUGAAUUCAUGCAUUCAGCAGGGCAAACUUCAGUUUUGUAGGGCAGCAGGGAAGAGUUUCUGGCCUGUAAGUGGGCAGGGUUUAGGGCAAAGUUAGAGAUGGCAUUGGAAGUUGGAUCUUAACUGUGACGUUCUUGAGUUUCUAGCAUGUAGGGCUUGGGGAUUUUUAAACUCAAGCACUUUGCUUAGGUUGCUUUAAAGGUCAAGAGAGUCUCAACCUUAAUUUAGUUUAUGUGUUUUUGGCCUGGACUACAGAUGCUUUUCUAAGGGCUCUUUGCAGCUCUUCCCUUUGGACUGUCUGAGUUUCUAUUUCUCCUGAGUCUCUUGUGCCUCUUCUCUAGAGUAGUGCAAAUCCCCAUGGUUUCAGGCUGCACGGGUUUGUGUUCACAUGGAUUUUUUUUGUAUAUUCACUAAUAUCAGACUUCUGUUUUGGGCUCAAACACAAAGAACAGCUCACAGCAGAAGGCUGCUGAAUUUUCCCUGAUUUGGGGGAAAAAUUCUCAAGCGCUAGAUGGCUUCCACCAAACCUGGACUUAGCUCCAGAUUGUAACAAAGCCCAGACUUCUUGAGUUUAACCUGGAGUAUUUUUCUAUUGCUUUUCUCUUUGCUAUUGAUCUGGUUUCUUUUGUAUAAAUACGUUGCAACCACCUUG
Molecule: long non-coding RNA, 1390 nt
Organism: Malaclemys terrapin pileata
Lineage: Eukaryota; Metazoa; Chordata; Testudines; Emydidae
Exons: 5
Source: RefSeq, a predicted model, not a curated record